GGCACUGUGGCGGAGUGGUUAACGCGACAGAUUCGAAUCAGUUUCGUAGAAUAGCUUUCAUCUGUUCCACUUGUUGGGCGCAUGUUCGAAUCAUGCCAGUGUCG
Mycena vitilis is the source of this 104-nucleotide non-coding RNA. The record is from the annotation of a GenBank genome assembly. Lineage: Eukaryota; Fungi; Basidiomycota; Agaricomycetes; Agaricales; Mycenaceae.